UUCAAAGUGUGACAAAGUGGUAUGUGACCGGUUUACACACACGACUGCAAAGACAAAUCAGAAAGAUGGAACAGAAUAUAAGGUCCCAUGUGUGAGACCUCUGGAUGUGUGGCCACAGCUUGUGGACGCUGCAAACAGCAGAUACUCCACAGUGUGGGCAGAGUGACAUGACAUCUUGUCCCCUCUCUAAUUAUGUGAUUGUGACCAUGUCAUUGAGGGUUCAAGUCCCAAUGUGUGAAAACCCAAUAUGACACAAGCCAGGUAAUUUAUUGUAUAGCAAAUGUAAUAAUUAGCAUUUUCAAGAAUUAUCAGUAAUUAUAUGGUGAAAAUAUUGUUUUAUACCUCCAGAUUGGCUAUCUGCUCCUCUUGUAUAUGUAAUUGUUGGAUUUCUGUGUGUCUGUUUCUUUAACUGACAUUUAAAAGUUGAUUAUUAGCUUUAUUUUAGUUGCAGUGCAUUUAAAAGCAUUAAACACUA
Micropterus dolomieu (smallmouth bass) is the source of this 475-nucleotide long non-coding RNA. RefSeq lists it as uncharacterized. Lineage: Eukaryota; Metazoa; Chordata; Actinopteri; Centrarchiformes; Centrarchidae. The transcript is spliced from 3 exons. The record is from RefSeq and is a predicted model, not a curated record.